CUGUUACCACGGGUGCAAUUUACGACAGCUUUCACCGACUGUGUGCCUACUCCCUCCAACCUCUUCAAUCUCUGGUCGCUCACAGCUAGCCAAGUGGGGGUCAACGGACUAACAGAGAUGGGGAGGUUCUGGAACUCGUCAUGACACGCUAAUGGACAGUAUCUGGCGAACAGCAGACUGCGAAUACAACUAGAACGACGAGGGGAAUCGAUUGGUUCUUUCGAACCCCUUUAGCAUUCCUACAAUGUGAGCAAGGAACUUUUCAUAACCUCGCCAUCACCAGAACCAUGGGGGGACGAAUAACUUCAGUCAGCACGACAACGACUACAAGUAGUCUCCCCAAUUCCCUUCUCAAGGAACAAAAGCCAACACACGUCUCUACAAGCACGGCAACUAGCGGUAGCUAGCUUCAGUACAGUAGUGCAUCUUUCCUCCGAGACAGGGCUAAAACACGCCAUAUCCACUUUCUGGAGGACUUACUUAUACUGCUGUAAUCGCCCGGCCAAAGGGAUGCAAUGGUAUCAUCAGAUUUUUUGUACCUUCCCCACAGCGUGAAAAACUCAGCAGUGUCUUCCACGCCGAAUUCACAGCUUCCAUAUAGCAUAGUUAACCUCAAUGGUCACACUACCCCUUCUCACUA
Molecule: unclassified non-coding RNA, 640 nt
Filed under: Yarrowia lipolytica
Lineage: Eukaryota; Fungi; Ascomycota; Dipodascomycetes; Dipodascales
Source: RNAcentral